Molecule: non-coding RNA, 98 nt
Organism: Acanthosepion pharaonis
Lineage: Eukaryota; Metazoa; Mollusca; Cephalopoda; Sepiida; Sepiidae
Source: the annotation of a GenBank genome assembly
GUUGAAACACUGGUUCCCGUACCAACACCGAAGUUAAGCAACGCCAAGCCUGAUCAUUAUCUAGAUGAGUGACCGCUUGGGAAUAAUAGGUGCUGUAA